AAGAGAAAGCGAGAAGUGAUAGGUGCCCAGGGAAUAAUGCAUGUGGCUGCCGGUAAGACUACUUCGAUAAUCUCCAUAAUCCCAAUCCCUCUUCCACGGCUGAGCCACCACCGUUGCUAUCUACCCCACCGCCGUCCCCUCAUUCUCUCGUCGCCUAUAGGAUUCCCAACCGCCAAGAGACCAAUGGUCACCGCUAGCAGCAGCAGCAGCUCCAUUCCCAACAGCCAAGGAGCAUUCACAACAAUUGAAGGCAGAUUCACUUGCGAAAAGGAGAUCAAGAAGAGCAAAUUCAUCGCCAUUGCUGGCCAUAUCUCCGACCAACGCCAAGCCGAAUCCUUCCUUUCCGAGGUUGGGGAUCCUCGUGCCACACAUAAUUGUUGGGCGUACAAGGUUGGGGAUCAAUACCGGAGUAAUGAUGAUGGUGAACCAUCUGGUACAGCUGGCAAACCGAUACAUUCUGCAAUUGUUUCUUCGGGAUUAGACAGAGUCAUGGUUGUUGUAAUCAGGUAUUUUGGAGGAAUUAAACUUGGUACUGGCGGACUAGUUAGAGCUUAUGGAGGAACUGCUGCAGAAUGCUUGAGAAAUGCUCCUACGCAGCUUGUAAAAUCUAAGGUUUCUAUGGGUGUAGAGGUUCCUUUUGAUCUUUUAGGGGUUCUGUACCACCAGCUCCAAACUUAUAAAGUUGAAGACAUUAAACAGGAUUACGAUACAGGGAAAGGUGGAGUCACGAUGGUUACUUUCAAAGUUGAUUUUGACCGCAUGCAAAGUUUAGAGGAAGCUAUCAAAACUAAUUGCAGCCGGGAUAUUGCAAUUUUCAAGCGCUGAAAUAUUCUUAUGAGCUCACUCUCAAGGCAGCACGCUGUCUUUCAGAGAAUUGAGGCCAUGUUCUUUAUUCCUGAUUACAAGUUACUAUAGUUUUUUGGAGAUAGCACCCUCCUAGUAGAGGCUCUUCCCAUUUCCCCAACUGCAGUAGGCUGAAGGUUGAUCCAUGGAGUUGACCAUCCUAGUGAUGAAGAAGAAGUUGCAGACAUAUAUAGUGAUCCGCCACCAAUAUUACAGUUCUUGACUUUUUAGCAAAGCUUUGAAUAGUUUGCGUCCCACAGUGAGCUUCUUCCAUUAUAAAUUGGGACUCAAGACACCCUACUUCUUCAUCUGUAUUUCCAUUAUAAUCUUUCUUGAAUUCAUACCUUCUCAAAGAGCUCAUGAAGCCUGACAUCAAUUUGGUUCUCCAAGCUCUCUUGGUUAUAGCUCUUCUGUCUGCUUCUCCUGCUUUAGGUGCUGAAACACGGCAAACACCAAAAACAAUUGAGGGUGGUGAGGCGGCAGCUGUUGGGGCGGAUGGGCAGCACGUCGGUGACAUGAAGCCAGUAAAUUAUGGGUACAAAUGGGGUAUAAAAGGCGGUGCCGGUCAUAGCAUCGGCUAUGGUUGGCCAUAUAAGGGUGGGCAUGGUUGGGGUUGGAAGGGUGGCUAUGGGGGAUGCAAGCUGGGCUGCUGCUUUCACUUCGCCGGAAAAUGUAAAUAUUGCUGCAAAAGCGUUGAAGAAGCCCAGGCUUAUAACAAAAAUUAUGAGCCCAAGCUUACUCCGCCAUAGACGUAUUACUUACCAUACAUUCAUGAACCAAACCGGCCGUCACAGUACGAGUUUCCACUUGUAAUGGAAAUCAAAGUAAAAUCUGUGAUUAAUAAAUAAAAUUUUGGUUCUUUCUAUA
Molecule: RNA transcript, 1710 nt
Organism: Ipomoea triloba (trilobed morning glory)
Lineage: Eukaryota; Viridiplantae; Streptophyta; Magnoliopsida; Solanales; Convolvulaceae
Gene name: IMPACT family member in pol 5'region-like
Exons: 9
Source: RefSeq, a predicted model, not a curated record